This 68-nucleotide microRNA precursor is filed under the name Mustela putorius furo (domestic ferret). Its description in RNAcentral is "miRNA (ENSMPUG00000020402.1)". The record is from RNAcentral. Lineage: Eukaryota; Metazoa; Chordata; Mammalia; Carnivora; Mustelidae.
AGGUGCAUGUGCAGGUGCAGGUGUACGUGUAGGCACAGUAUGUAUACACACACACACACACACACACU